This 507-nucleotide ribosomal RNA is filed under the name uncultured soil bacterium. RNAcentral's name for it is "bacterial SSU rRNA". It matches the Rfam family "Bacterial small subunit ribosomal RNA", at positions 26 to 508 of the family's 1533-position model. The record is from RNAcentral.
AGAACGAACGUUGGCGGCGUGGAUGAGGCAUGCAAGUCGAACGUGAAAGCCGCAAGGCGAGUAAAGUGGCGGACGGGCGAGUAACACGUAAUCAAGCUGCCUGCGAGACGGGAAUAACCUCGGGAAACCGAGGCUAAGACCCGAUGGUCUCCAGGGACCGCAUGGUCCUAGGAGUAAAUGGACGGGGGAUCCUUCGGGACCGCCUGCUCGCAGAGGUGAUUGCGGCCUAUCAGCUAGUUGGUGGGGUAAUGGCCUACCAAGGCAACGACGGGUAGCCGGCCUUAGAGGGUGGUCGGCCGCACUGGGACUGAGACACUGCCCAGACUCCUACGGGAGCUGCAGUCGAGAAUCUUCCGCAAUGGGACGAAAGCCUGACGGAGCGACGCCGCGUGGAGGAUGAAGGCCUUGGGUUGUAAACUCCUGUCACGAGUUAAGAAGGCAAGCAAGCGAACAGCUGUUUGCUCGUGACGUAAGCCUACGAGAGGAAGCACUGGACUAACUCUGUCG